Molecule: ribosomal RNA, 370 nt
Filed under: Bacillus cereus
Lineage: Bacteria; Bacillati; Bacillota; Bacilli; Caryophanales; Bacillaceae
Description: bacterial SSU rRNA
Rfam family: Bacterial small subunit ribosomal RNA
Source: RNAcentral
UUGGGCGUAAGCGCGCGCAGGUGGUUUCUUAAGUCUGAUGUGAAAGCCCACGGCUCAACCGUGGAGGGUCAUUGGAAACUGGGAGACUUGAGUGCAGCAGAGGAAAGUGGAAUUCCAUGUGUAGCGGUGAAAUGCGUAGAGAUAUGGAGGAACACCAGUGGCGAAGGCGACUUUCUGGUCUGUAACUGACACUGAGGCGCGAAAGCGUGGGGAGCAAACAGGAUUAGAUACCCUGGUAGUCCACGCCGUAAACGAUGAGUGCUAAGUGUUAGAGGGUUUCCGCCCUUUAGUGCUGAAGUUAACGCAUUACGCACUGCGCACUGGGGAGUACGGGCGCAAGGCUGAAACUCAAAGGAAUUGACGGGGGUCC